GACGAACGCUGGCGGCGUGCUUAACACAUGCAAGUCGAGCGGUAAGGCCCUUUCGGGGGUACGACGAGCGGCGAACGGGUGAGUAACACGUGGGUGACCUGCCCUCAGCUCUGGGAUAAGCCCGGGAAACUGGGUCUAAUACCGGAUAUGACUCCAUGACGCAUGUUGUGGGGUGGAAAGCCUUGUGCGGCUGAGGAUGGGCCCGCGGCCUAUCAGCUUGUUGGUGGGGUGAUGGCCACCAAGGCGACGACGGGUAGCCGGCCUGAGAGGGCGACCGGCCACACUGGGACUGAGACACGGCCCAGACUCCUACGGGAGGGCAGCAGUGGGGAAUCUUGCGCAAUGGGCGAAAGCCUGACGCAGCGACGCCGCGUGAGGGAUGACGGCCU
Molecule: ribosomal RNA, 389 nt
Filed under: uncultured bacterium
Lineage: Bacteria
Description: bacterial SSU rRNA
Rfam family: Bacterial small subunit ribosomal RNA
Source: RNAcentral